AUUGAACGCUGGCGGCAUGCUUUACACAUGCAAGUCGAACGGUAACAGGCCUUCGGGUGCUGACGAGUGGCGAACGGGUGAGUAAUGCAUCGGAACGUACCCAGAGGUGGGGGAUAACGCAGCGAAAGCUGUGCUAAUACUGCAUGUGAUCUGAGGAUGAAAGCGGGGGACCGAGCAGCAAUGUUUGGCCUCGCGCCUUUGGAGCGGCCGAUGUCGGAUUAGCUAGUUGGUGGGGUAAAGGCCUACCAAGGCGACGAUCCGUAGCUGGUCUGAGAGGACGACCAGCCACACUGGGACUGAGACACGGCCCAGACUCCUACGGGAGGCGGCAGUGGGGAAUUUUGGACAAUGGGCGCAAGCCUGAUCCAGCAAUGCCGCGUGCGGGAAGAAGGCCUUCGGGUUGUAAACCGCUUUUGGCAGGAACGAAACGGUGUCCGCUAAUACCGGGCGCUAAUGACGGUACCUGCAGAAUAAGCACCGGCUAACUACGU
This 491-nucleotide ribosomal RNA is filed under the name uncultured bacterium. RNAcentral describes it as "partial 16S ribosomal RNA". It matches the Rfam family "Bacterial small subunit ribosomal RNA", at positions 30 to 506 of the family's 1533-position model. The record is from RNAcentral.